UACGAAGGGUGCAAGCGUUGUUCGGAUUUAUUGGGCGUAAAGCGCGCGCAGGCGGGCCUGCAAGUCAGAUGUGAAAUCUCGGAGCUCAACUUCGAAAUGGCGUCUGAAACUACAGGUCUAGAAUACUGGAGAGGGUAACGGAAUAUCGCAUGUAGGGGUAAAAUCCGUAGAGAUGCGAUGGAACAUCAGAGGCGAAGGCGGUUACCUGGCCGGUUAUUGACGCUGAGGCGCGAAAGCGUGGGGAGCAAACAGG
Molecule: ribosomal RNA, 253 nt
Filed under: uncultured bacterium
Lineage: Bacteria
Description: partial 16S ribosomal RNA
Rfam family: Bacterial small subunit ribosomal RNA
Source: RNAcentral